This is a long non-coding RNA of Prosopis cineraria, 2827 nucleotides long. RefSeq lists it as uncharacterized. The record is from RefSeq and is a predicted model, not a curated record. NCBI's taxonomy places the organism in Eukaryota, Viridiplantae, Streptophyta, Magnoliopsida, Fabales, Fabaceae. The transcript is spliced from 3 exons.
CCCAACUUGAUUUGCAUGCAGUUCAUCACAACAACCGAAUAACAAAAUGCAAUGACCUACGAAGCUAGAUUCCUCAGUUGCAAACGAAUCAUGUUCUUCAGGCCCAGUAUGCCGUAAAAGAAGAAGCGAAUAUGGCAAGUGAAUGAGUGAUAAUACAAGCAAAGAGAGGGAGGGGCGAUCUUAGAAGGUUCUGGCUUCGCUGAGUGCGGUGGCUCUCCGGCCUGUCUCAGGCGAUGGGUGCUGCUGGCUGGUCGUCGUCGACGAGGAGGAGGGAUUUUUAGUUUGUGAAUUUAGGAAUGGGAGUCUGAGGCGUGGCAUCAAGGAUCAGGGCUCAAGGGAAAUGGUGGUUGAAAGUAAUUCCCCGGCAAUACUCUCUCAGUCAGACACGUCGUCGUCUAUUGUUCUUACAAUUUCUACCGCAAGCAAAUCAGACCCGAAAAUUCCCUUUCAAGCUUCACAUUCCACAAAAUUCACAAAGACCAAGGAAUGGAAAUGGAGGAUUUGGACGUCUUGUGAUAAUGAAUAUACUCGGGGGUUGAGUGCACGAUCGCUUCUUUCCUUCUCUGCAUCUCUUUAGCUACAUUUUGUAUGAUGCAGGAAAACUCACUUAGAGCGACUAUUUUUCCCCCUUAUUUAAGAUGUGGUUAUUGCAGGAUCUGAUAUAAUUAUAGUAAUUCUAUGCAGUUGCUGCAAACAUGGAGGAAGCAUACUGCUCCAGUCCAGUAUUUUGUGAAAAAAAAUACUCUGUUUUGGCUAUCAAUUAUUGGAUGAAAUUAUUUUUUUUCUAAGAGCUUAAAUGAUCAAUUAUCUUCUGUUGUAGAUCAUUUGGCGCGCCUGAUGAUUGGAUCUUCCAAACUUGGCUUCCCCCCCUUUUUUUUUAAUGCUUUCGACUUAUUUUCUUUCAAUUGUCAUAUUUUUCCUUUUUCUCCUAUACCACACUGUAAUCAAUAGUUGUUUGAGACUAAUUUAUUUUUCUUACCGGAAAACAUGAUGGAAUCCUGAAUUCUGGAGUGGCCAUAAAAUCAGAGUGCAGCUCCCAAAAAUAUCUUGCUUUUGUAGUUGAUAUAUAUUUUGAAGGAGGAUCCAUGAUUCAAAAUCCUAUACAAAGCUUGUUUCCAGCAUUACACUCGUCUAUAACCAAAUGAUGGGUGGCCGCAUGAGUCUGUGCAAAAGGAGCAACACGAUUCCAUGCUUCCAUUUCACCAACACUAGAUUUUUAAAUUCUCAUUAACUUGGAUUGCUCAUACAUGCUUUGUUAGUCUUGCCUCACUUUGCCACGACCGUGAGGCGAUGGUGAUUUCUUAUCAGAAUAGACCAGCCGUUAUGUCAAAACUCUAGAGUUCCAAUGCACACUUUAUCCGAGAGAAGCAUUUGUUAGCACCUUACGGCAUUGCAUUUUUGGUUCAUUUGAUGGUAUCAUGCAUCAUGCUUCAUUCACCUAUGCAUCAGUUUGACUUCACUUUAUUAGUUACUUUCUUUUUUUGAUUCUAUGAUUUUUAGGACCGAAGGCUGAAGGUUAAAACCUCUUGACAUGGGUGGAUUGCAAGCUAGCUUCUUCAAUUUUUCGAAUCCCUCGUACAUCAGCAGAUGAUUUCUCAAUGGCUCUUCUGAACAAGGAUAUAAAAGCAUGCAAUAAAGAUGCUGAGAACUAUUUUGUUUCAGUAGUUGGAUGCCUUUCAUGGAAUAUAUUCCCAGCAGGAGUUCUUCAUGUUCUUUGAUAUCAGUCAGCCUUCCCUCUGCAUACAAGGCACAUUUUGUAUGUGCCGCAAGGGGGGCCGCUUUUGUCGAUUAAUAAUUGCGCGGUCAAGAGAAGGAUAUUGCUUUUUGAAAUAUACGUUGGCCAGGUGCAAGCAUUGCCAAGGGGUCAUAAGCAGAUUUUCUCUGCAGAAAUGCCUCCCACCGAGGACCAAAGUGGGCCCUCCAUUCUUCCUGUGUAGUGUAGUGAGGCAAAUAUUGCUUUACCCCAAGACGGGCACUUUCACAGUAUUCUAGAAUUCUUUUAUUUUGAGUUAAAAUAUGUUCGAGGCCAUCAGAUCCAUUGGAAGAAGGAAGUGCAGAGGUCAGAAAUGCCACUAAGUAGAAAAUGUCUUCGUCAGGAAUUACUACAGAAGUUCUGUUGUCCCACCUGCGAACAACAAUAUAUGUUAGUCACAUGUUGAAGGCUAAAAAUAUUGGUGGAGAAAUGAAGAUCGGUUGUUUCAGGAAACAUUACUUUGAUUUGUUUACUGGGUAGAUGAGAAUUGGACCAUUGCUUGUUUCUCUCAAGAUCUUCCCAAAGACACCUUCAGCAAAGUCGUGUACUUUGCUUCUGGGUAUGAAAAGAUUGAGCCACGGGUGUGGAACGUCCCACAAGCCUUUUGACCGCAAUUUGACCUCAGAGACAUGGACUCUGUCUAAGAAAUCAACAUAUGUGACUUCCGUUAGAAAAAGUGUUGAUGGGAUAUAGUUUAAGUGGGACAAAUGUUCUUCAACUUCCUGCAUACGGAAGAAACAUAGUAAGAGAAAGUUGGUAAAUGCCUUAAUAUUUUUGAUUUAAUAACUAACACGUAUUAGUGACUUAUAUAUGAAUAUAUUUGAAGAAUACGGAACUUUAGGUUGACCUGUUGCUUGGCUUACCUCAUUUACCGCAUCAGAAUCUUCCAGACUGAAGUAUUUGGCCAAUUCUAGGCAGAAGAGAGUUCUUCCAUCUGACUUGAACUGAUUAGCUUGAACUGGGUCUUGUGGUUUGAAGGAUGAUCUCCAGUUGUUCAGCAGACCAGUUUUGUUUAUGAUCACAAAUCCCUCAAUGUAAUCGAAUAUGCUUUCUGCAAAUAUUAACUUCUCCUGA